Long non-coding RNA from Nematostella vectensis (starlet sea anemone), 695 nucleotides. RefSeq lists it as uncharacterized. NCBI's taxonomy places the organism in Eukaryota, Metazoa, Cnidaria, Anthozoa, Actiniaria, Edwardsiidae. The record is from RefSeq and is a predicted model, not a curated record. The transcript has 2 exons.
CCGUUUUCUAAUGAUGCUAAACUAAUGUUUCAAGAGGAGAGGGCACUUGUGGUGUUUUAGGUCUGAUAACUGGAUAAGAGAAGUCACAUGCAGGGUCAGGUAGCAGUAAAAUGACAAAAUACAGAGGGAGUUUGCAAGGGAAGAGACGACGAGACUGUAGUAAUACUGAGAAAAAUCAGUAAUAUUUCACUCGCUUCCAUCUCUCAGUGAAAAUCUCUGUGGUAUUUGAGAUCCUGCUCGGGAUGCUUGGACUUAUAAAGAAAUUGAUGAAUGAAGUUUGAUAAUAGAGCAACUAAUCGCUCCUCUGAAGCUCUGUUUGGAUGUCACAGCGUUAGAAAUUUGAUUCUCAACAAGGGUUAUUUAUAGUUGGAGUGCUGUGACGUCGCAAGCGAGAUCUAAAGGAGCCGACGAUUUACACCACGGCCAAAACGGUUCUGUCGACACCGCGAAAUCGCUAACGAAAUAUCAAUUAACAUGAAGACGAGAGCGUAUCAAGGUGUUUGCAACGUGUUGUCAGGUAAAGGAAGUUGACACAUUAGUUUUUCGUUUCUUAACAUUAUUCCACGUGCAUCCAAUGGAUAAAAUCACGACUUAAAAAAAUGAUCGGGCUUGAUUUGGGACACUCAAUUAAAAAAACACUUAAUCAGCUCUCGAUUGUAAUCAAAUGCGUUCUUAUUAUAUAUUUUUAGUUGAAA